Molecule: unclassified non-coding RNA, 600 nt
Filed under: Hevea brasiliensis (rubber tree)
Lineage: Eukaryota; Viridiplantae; Streptophyta; Magnoliopsida; Malpighiales; Euphorbiaceae
Source: RNAcentral
GAAUUUUAUUAGGUUUAGAAUUUACUAUUAUUAGGUCUACUAUUAUUUUCCUAGUUUAUCUUAUUUAGCAUUCCUAAAUAGAGUUGAAUUAGGGUUUCUACAUCCUAAUGUAGUUAGCAUUUCAAAACUCCAUAGAUAGGGCUUAGUUUCUCUAUUUUAAUUACAGAAUUAUUAUGAUUUUGACUACUGAAGAGAAAUAAAUUGUUAAAAGUUAACAAUUUAUUUCUCUUCAAGUUUGAGAAUUUGUUUCUUAUCCUCAAAUCCCCGUUACACUUACUGGUUCUACAUCACAAAGUCAUUCAGAAGUUGAAAGAAAGGAUAUUGAAAUAAUUUGGACACAUGUAUCGGACACCAGCAAAUGCAACAGUAUGAAAUGUUGAACAUAUUGAAGUUACAGCAGAAGAACAAAGCAAAGGGCAGACCCUGGAAGAUGUGAGGGGAAGUAGUGAAAAAAGAUUUAGUAGCCCUAGAUCUUUUAGACAAAGAAGCCCCCCUAAUAGUUGAAUGGAAGAAAAGGAUCCAUAUACUGACCUACUGUAGUUAAGUUGAAUUGAAAUGCUGACAUAUUAAGAUACAUAUAAAUUUUCUCCAGUUUUUUUU